Molecule: long non-coding RNA, 565 nt
Organism: Centruroides sculpturatus (bark scorpion)
Lineage: Eukaryota; Metazoa; Arthropoda; Arachnida; Scorpiones; Buthidae
Exons: 4
Source: RefSeq, a predicted model, not a curated record
AUUUCGAUUUAGCGCCACAUUACAUUUAAUGCCAAUUUCAUAAGCAAAUGAUUGGUGGUAAAUCGAAAUUUGACUGUAUAUUAACUUAAUACAUGUGUUCUACAUAUAAUAUCUUCUAUCUUCGAAUAAAAUAUAAGUAUGAGAAUUAUGCAUUCGAUCAUACGAACAAGGGAGGAUAAAUUGAUUCUACGAGCAAUAAAAAGGUUUAGAAGAUAAGGAAACAGAUGGAAAGGGUCUCUCGAGGAUUAGCAACCAUCAUCUGCUCGUCCCAAUGGAUUGUCAGGACAACCAGCACCAUCUGCUCAUCUUAUUUGCUUCUGUCCUGAUCGCCAAUUUUGUGACCCUAAUGUUGUUCCAUGAAAAAAGUAGAAGAGGAAAAUAAAAAACAGGAAGAGUAAAGUUCGAGUCUUGUCUAUUCCCAAGUGUCUUGCCACCAAGAACUCACGACACAUGAAAGAUAACUUCUUCACAUGUCUAGAUACAACUUUCUUUUUAUAAUCUAUCACAAGAUGCUACUAAAUUAGAUACGUUUUAUUUUAAUUAAGCGAUUUCAUUUUAUAUAAUG